CCUACGGGUGGCAGCAGUGGGGAAUAUUGGACAAUGGGGGCAACCCUGAUCCAGCCAUGCCGCGUGUGUGAAGAAGGCCCUCGGGUUGUAAAGCACUUUCAGUGAGGAAGAACGCCUGGUGGUUAAUACCCAUCAGGAAAGACAUCACUCACAGAAGAAGCACCGGCUAACUCCGUGCCAGCAGCCGCGGUAAUACGGAGGGUGCGAGCGUUAAUCGGAAUUACUGGGCGUAAAGCGCGCGUAGGUGGCUUGAUAAGCCGGUUGUGAAAGCCCCGGGCUCAACCUGGGAACGGCAUCCGGAACUGUCAAGCUAGAGUGCAGGAGAGGAAGGCAGAAUUCCCGGUGUAGCGGUGAAAUGCGUAGAGAUCGGGAGGAAUACCAGUGGCGAAGGCGGCCUUCUGGACUGACACUGACACUGAGGUGCGAAAGCGUGGGUAGCAAACAGGAUUAGAUACCCGAGUAGUC
Molecule: ribosomal RNA, 465 nt
Filed under: Vreelandella stevensii
Lineage: Bacteria; Pseudomonadati; Pseudomonadota; Gammaproteobacteria; Oceanospirillales; Halomonadaceae
Description: partial 16S ribosomal RNA
Rfam family: Bacterial small subunit ribosomal RNA
Source: RNAcentral